Molecule: long non-coding RNA, 3563 nt
Organism: Strigops habroptila (Kakapo)
Lineage: Eukaryota; Metazoa; Chordata; Aves; Psittaciformes; Psittacidae
Exons: 5
Source: RefSeq, a predicted model, not a curated record
AAAAUGCACUGUCAGAGAGGAUUAUGUGCUUUUGGAAGAUGGUAUCCUAUUAGCAUUCCUUUAUUCAAACAUCUCUGUGUGUUUGUGUUACUCGAGCCACAGGGAGGAUUUAGAAAUGCUAUUUCCUCCAUUGAGAGGACAGUUAACAGUAUGUGGUAGUGUGUUUAUUUCUCUAACAGUAAAACCACUGUGUUUUAGCUUCUGACAGGAGGAAGAAAAAAUAAUUGUUAUGUUCUGUGGUGAAUGUGACUUUACAACUGUACUACUAAAGGUAGAUUGCACUUGCAGUGAAUAUUUACGCCUAUGGUGGCAUAUAAAGGCCAGAAAAAGCACCAGGAAAAGGUGCUGUCAGUGGGAUGUAACUCACUGUUGCAGAUUCAAGCCCAGAUGGUCACCAGUAUCAGUGCUGAGACAUCCUGCCCCUUGUCCAAAGCCAAUUCCUUUGGGACCAUAUUUUCUCCCGUAACAAGUUUUGCAGUAGAUUUCAGAUUCAUGCGCUGCCACUGUGGUGCUGUCCAGAGCUUUCCUGCAAGCCACUGAGAACAGGAGAAAAGAGGCAUUUUUAUACAUCUGCAUUUUCAAAUUGGAAUUGAUAAGAGUUCAGACUAAUGACAAUAAGUGUUUAUUUUUGCUUAUAUUGAUAAAUACGGGAAAAGAAGAUAGUCUGUAGUCAGUAUAGAACUUCACUGGGCUGUUGCUGAAGUAGUUGUGCAUGCACUCAACCUGUUGUCUUGCCACUUCAAAGUUCUACUCUAACCUUAGGAAAACCAUGGGCUCAUCAAGACAACUUGUCUAGAUCUUGUGAAGGUUAAGGUGGAUUUGAGAUCAUCAUCCUGAACUCCCAAACCUUAAAGGCAAAGAGAAGGUUGCAGGGGUGUUGGUUCUGCUAUGCGUCUGCAUCUUUUGAACUAGUAACUCUGAGUCUGUGGUGCCUUUCUCAUCUCAGCCCAUGCUGUUUUACGUGGCAUGUUUCUAAAAGAGGAUAUAAGAUGCAUACCAUGUCUGGGGCAAGCAGGACAUGUGUUUCUAUUUACUCGAUGAGUUGUGGUGCAAGGCAAAGCAACAAUCCCAAGUAACUGCUAGACUGCUCUAUUAGACUUCCUUCAGGAGGGCAAGAGUACAAUUAUAGCUGUUCCAAAACAGAGACCUCUUCCUAGUCAUGUUCUUAUAGGAAAAAUACUGCUUGGCUUAGCUCACUAGGAGUAGUCUGGGAGACUUUUAGACAGGAGGUGCCAUAGGAAUGCCCAGCGUUUGUAACGGAAUACAAGUUACAUCCUCUACAGCACUGCUUUAAACCAAGCCCCAACUUGGAAAGACCAAAAGCUAAAUGAGUGCUAACAGCUGCUUAUCUGGGGAGCUCAGCAAGCAAGCAUCCUUGUUCUGGUAAACACAAGCUGCACCCAGAGCUAAGCGGCGUUACUGAGAUGGGUCUCACACACGGUUGCUCUCCUCUGAAACCUGAUCAGCGUUUAGAAGCUGAAUCUGUUUCCAGUCCAGGGCGAUCUUCUUGCUGCUGAUGGAUGGAAAGUGGACAAUAAUGAAUGGCAAUAAAACAGUAGCUACAUUCCUCAUCUGCUUGGUGAAUACAUGUGCUGCAGUGUUGUGGGUACUCAGCAUGAGGUACUUCCCACACCACUGCGAGAGGAUGAAGCUUUCAGUUCAGAGUGCUUCUAGAAAAGGAUGGGUUUGUAGUAUGCUUAGAAAUUGAAAUUUCAACACUGCUUAGAAAUUGUUCACUCUGUCGAUGGUGGUUGAUAUGGGGGAGGGGGGAAUAGGCAAAAACUCUCUUCAACAACCUUUUAACUAAUGUGUGCCCCACAGAGUACAUUCCAGUCAUGCGCAGGCUCUUGAGAGCUGAGUAAAUGAAGGUGCUUAGCUCACAUAAGCCACAGAAACCUGUGAAAUACAGAAGUAUUGGCAGUGGUUGAAAGUUUAAGUUCUCGCAGAGCUAGCUGUUUGAUUAGCCCCUUUCCCCCCAUGCUUAUUUACACUGUCCUACUGUGAGUCUAAAUUCACAUGCAUCAGGGAAUUUAAGCUGAUACUGGAACCUGCAGCUUCAAUUCUAUUAUUCUAUGUGUGUGUUGGGGGGGAGAUAAUCUGCGAGGACCUUUAUAGUUAAUAGAAAUCAAAUGAAGGGCUUCUGUAAAUGUGUGAACCUGAUCUCAUCAUGCUACAGUCUUUCUGCUUUGAGAUGAUAAUUAUGUUUGCUAAUGGAGUUAACGGAUGAUGGAAACUCUAGGAGCAGAUAAAGCGUUUCUAUUUCUGGCACUUUAGGGAUAGAGUAUCAAUUCACUAUAACAGAUGGAGCAAAAGCCCUUGAAGUGCUACUGUUGAAAUAACUUUGAGACCUGUCAUCUGCCAACAGAUACUGUCGGCGAGCCGGCACGAAGAAGUUUCAGGUUAAUGAUGUGAGAUCCUGCCAAAUGUCCAUCACAGCUGUGGGCUGAGUAAAAGCUGUCGGGGAAACAAGAUACUCCAAGUGGUGUUUUCCCAGCUAAUGGCAAGAUGUGCUGUGGUGUUGGACAAAACUUACCUCAGGAGCAGGAAUAGCAAAUGCUACAGUCCAACUUUAACAGUGCACAUCGGACAGAAAUAGUUAGAAGGUAUCAAGAUUUUGGGAUGUUCCCUGUCAAGCGACUUCUAUGUGUCCACUCUCCCUCCUAACACCCCUAAAGCCAAGAAUGAAUAACAGCAAUAUGAGCACCCUGAACUACUCCAGAAUCACUGUAUAAAUAGAUUUCAAUGAAGAUAUUUACCUUGCUGCAACUCUGCAAGCUGUGACUGGAUUUGGUCCACCGAACUGGAAAAAGCUUCUACUUACGCACUGAACACAGUGGAAAGGAAAACGCGAACUGAAACCAGCGAGGAUCAGUUUCAACUUUGAAUAGAUACAAUUCUACACACAAAAAAAUGUGAAGGAGUCUGUCUGAGAAUCAAGGGAGGAUAUGAUUUUCAGUGAAACCCACAAUUGAUUCUUGAUCCCUCAAGAAAGAGCAGGCGCAUUUUUUAUUAUGAUGGAUGUACAAGCCUACACCUAGAAGUACCUUUUCAUUUGAAGGGAGAGGAAGAAGAAGAAGCGUGCAGGGAACUGAGAGCAGGGUAAAAGAAUGAAGAAAUAAUUGGCAGUUACAGACUGGGUUUCACUUCCUCUCACGUGUAAGCGAUUAACAGGACUUGUACAGAAUUUCUUUAGCUUUCCAACAAGUAAGUUAUAUGACCAAAACAGAGACUUGCAUGAUUCUGGGGCAGCUUUGGUGAAAGGAUGCUGAAAUCUCUAAGAUACGGCUUGAGGAAAAAGAGAAACUGUUACUGAUAAGCAGCCUUGUGACAUUGCGUUAGAAAACAGGAUUUAAUGGACUUUUUCCUUUUACAUGGUCAUUAUGUAUCAAUGCCUAUGCCCAAGUGGGUCGCUGUUAAAAACUGUUUAGUCCCUGUUAGAGGUGUUUCGCGAGUUUUUGGAGGCUCAAAUAUAUUUAUGGCAGCAAAAAGAUGAUGGUAUUUUACACAAUAUGAACUAGUACUGGAAUAGUUCAUUUAGCUUUCACUUGAUAUUGUACUUACUU